This 759-nucleotide ribosomal RNA is filed under the name uncultured bacterium. Its description in RNAcentral is "bacterial SSU rRNA". It matches the Rfam family "Bacterial small subunit ribosomal RNA", at positions 109 to 868 of the family's 1533-position model. The record is from RNAcentral.
AGUAACGCGUAUCCAACCUGCCCCACCACUUGGGGAUAACCUUGCGAAAGUAAGACUAAUACCCAAUGAUAUCUCUAGAAGACAUCUGAAAGAGAUUAAAGAUUUAUCGGUGAUGGAUGGGGAUGCGUCUGAUUAGCUUGUUGGCGGGGUAACGGCCCACCAAGGCAACGAUCAGUAGGGGUUCUGAGAGGAAGGUCCCCCACAUUGGAACUGAGACACGGUCCAAACUCCUGCGGGAGGCAGCAGUGAGGAAUAUUGGUCAAUGGACGAGAGUCUGAACCAGCCAAGUAGCGUGCAGGAUGACGGCCCUAUGGGUUGUAAACUGCUUUUAUAAGGGAAUAAAGUGAGUCUCGUGAGACUUUUUGCAUGUACCUUAUGAAUAAGGACCGGCUAAUUCCGUGCCAGCAGCCGCGGUAAUACGGAAGGUCCGGGCGUUAUCCGGAUUUAUUGGGUUUAAAGGGAGCGUAGGCCGGAGAUUAAGCGUGUUGUGAAAUGUAGACGCUCAACGUCUGCACUGCAGCGCGAACUGGUUUCCUUGAGUACGCACAAAGUGGGCGGAAUUCGUGGUGUAGCGGUGAAAUGCUUAGAUAUCACGAAGAACUCCGAUUGCGAAGGCAGCUCACUGGAGCGCAACUGACGCUGAAGCUCGAAAGUGCGGGUAUCGAACAGGAUUAGAUACCCUGGUAGUCCGCACGGUAAACGAUGGAUGCCCGCUGUUGGUCUGAAUAGGUCAGCGGCCAAGCGAAAGCAUUAAGCAUC